GAGCUAAUACAUGCUAACACUCUCUGACCGCAAGGGAAGAGCGCUCUUAUUAGACCAAAACCUGUCGGGCCUCGGUCCGUACUCCAAAGGUGGUGAAUCUGGAUAAUUUCGACCUGAGCGCAGGGUCUCUGAACCGGCGCCGUAUCUUUCAAGUGUCUGACUUAUCAGCUAUCGACUGUAGGUUAUGUGCCUACAUUGGCUAUAACGGGUAACGGGGAAUCAGGGUUCGAUUCCGGAGAGGGAGCCUGAGAAACGGCUACCACAUCUAAGGAAGGCAGCAGGCACGCAAAUUACCCACUCCCGGCACGGGGAGGUAGUGACGAAAAAUAACGGUGCGAGACUCAUCCGAGGCCUCGCAAUCGGAAUGAGUACACUUUAAAUCCUUUAACGAGGAUCGAUUGGAGGGCAAGUCUGGUGCCAGCAGCCGCGGUAAUUCCAGCUCCAAUAGCGUAUAUUAAAGUUGUUGUGGUUAAAAAGCUCGUAGUUGGAUCUCCACAGUCUGAAGUUGGUGUGCUUGCUAGCACUACUGCCUUAUAGACUGUAGUUUUGCCAGAGGUGUUAGGGUGCUCUUAAUCGAGUGUCCUAUCGCACUGGCAGGUUUACUUUGAAAAAAUUAGAGUGCUCAAAGCAGGCUUUAUGCUUGAAUAUUCGUGCAUGGAAUAAUAGAAUAGGAGGUCAUUUCUAUUUUGUUGGUUUUUAAGUUUUGACUUAAUGAUUAAUAGGGACAAACGGGGGCAUUUGUAUUCAGACGACAGAGGUGAAAUUCUUGGACCGUCUGAAGACUAACUACA
This 791-nucleotide ribosomal RNA is filed under the name uncultured marine eukaryote. Its description in RNAcentral is "SSU rRNA". It matches the Rfam family "Eukaryotic small subunit ribosomal RNA", at positions 161 to 944 of the family's 1831-position model. The record is from RNAcentral.